This 63-nucleotide transfer RNA is filed under the name Enyalioides rubrigularis (red-throated woodlizard). RNAcentral's name for it is "tRNA-Cys". The record is from RNAcentral. Lineage: Eukaryota; Metazoa; Chordata; Lepidosauria; Squamata; Hoplocercidae.
AAGCCCCGGGCCGAACUGGGGCCUAUUUCAAACUNGCAUUUUGACGUGUGACACCUCGGAGCU